Long non-coding RNA from Nicrophorus vespilloides, 335 nucleotides. RefSeq lists it as uncharacterized. The transcript is spliced from 2 exons. NCBI's taxonomy places the organism in Eukaryota, Metazoa, Arthropoda, Insecta, Coleoptera, Silphidae. The record is from RefSeq and is a predicted model, not a curated record.
GUGGGAGAUUGAGCGAGUGAGAGGGACAAGAGGUUUUGUUUAUUUAUGCAAAAAUACACCCAGCCACAUUUUAUCAGGCUUCCGAACGUACUUAAGUCAAGUGUGAAGUUAGUCUAGGCCAGUUUUGUACGAGCAGCUAAAUUGAACUGUUCUUCCUCUGCCAUUGGACUUUGGUCUCCAACCGCACUUAAGUCGCUCUUCCAAAAAAAUACAAAAACACCUUAAUACUAAACAAUAUUACUUGAGCAACUGCUUUCAAAGAGGGGUGGAUACCAUAAUAUUUGAAUAUAGAGGGGAGCACUAGAUUCUCAUCUCUUCCAGUUCUUUCAAAAAAA